GAAGAUCCAUGUGACACUAUUAUAAAGAUGGCAUUUAUAAGAGGAGAGUGAAGACUUCAAGAUUGAAGAAACAUUCAGUGUGAAACAAGAAGAGACUGAGGAACACAAAGGCCUGAUGCCGCUGAAAAUGGAAAGUGAAGUAUUGAAUGAAAAGGAAAAUAAAGAUCAUGAAGACCUAACUGAAGAAAAAUCUAUUAAUUGAUCACAGACUGAAAAGACUUCCACACUAAAAAAAGGCUCAGAAGACAGAAACUAGAACUCUCACCUGCUCUCAGUGUGGAAAGAGAUUCAAUCUACAUGGAGACCUUAAAAGACACACGAGAGGUCACACUGGAGAGACACCCUUCAUCUGCCAAAAGCGUGGAAAGAGUUUGACUCAAAUCGAAAGACUUAAAGGACACACAAGAGUUCACACUAAAGAGAAGCCUUUUACCUGCCAACAAUGUGGAAAAACAUU
Pimephales promelas (fathead minnow) is the source of this 457-nucleotide non-coding RNA. The record is from RefSeq and is a predicted model, not a curated record. Lineage: Eukaryota; Metazoa; Chordata; Actinopteri; Cypriniformes; Leuciscidae.